UGAGCAGGCCGUGACUGGCGCGCUGGGAUGGGACGGACCAUCGGGGAGCGGCCUUGAGCAGUGACUGUGCCGUGCGCCUGGGCCGAACCG
This 90-nucleotide non-coding RNA is filed under the name Streptomyces sp. Its description in RNAcentral is "ZTP sequence". It matches the Rfam family "ZMP/ZTP riboswitch aptamer (pfl RNA motif)". From Rfam's summary of the family: Previously known as pfl RNA. RNAcentral also lists the same sequence under 1 other name. The record is from RNAcentral. Lineage: Bacteria; Bacillati; Actinomycetota; Actinomycetes; Kitasatosporales; Streptomycetaceae.